ACCCGCUGAACUUAAGCAUAUCAAUAAGCGGAGGAAAAGAAACUAACAAGGAUUCCCCUAGUAACGGCGAGUGAAGCGGGAAGAGCUCAAAUUUAAAAUCUGGCGGUGUACUCCGUCCGAGUUGUAGUCUAGAGAAGCAUCAUCCGUGCCGGACCAUGUACAAGUCUCUUGGAACAGAGCGUCGUAGAGGGUGAGAAUCCCGUCCUUGACAUGGACUCCCGGUGCUUUGUGUUGAGCUCUCAACGAGUCGAGUUGUUUGGGAAUGCAGCUCAAAAUGGGUGGUAAAUUCCAUCUAAAGCUAAAUAUUGGCGAGAGACCGAUAGCGAACAAGUACCGUGAGGGAAAGAUGAAAAGCACUUUGGAGAGAGAGUUAAACAGUACGUGAAAUUGUUGAAAUGGAAACGAUUGAAGUCAGUCGCGUUCUCUGGGAUUCAGCCUUGCUUCUGCUUGGUGCAUUUCCUAGUCUACGGGCCAGCAUGGAUUUCGACCGUUGGAAAAGGGCUGGGGGAAUGUGGCACCUUCGGGUGUGUUAUAGCCCCUUGUCGCAUGCAUCGGUUGGGAUCGAGGACCUCAGUGCACGCUUCGGUUGUGCUUUGAUGCUGGCGUAAUGGCUUUAAACGACCCGUCUUGAAACACGG
Molecule: ribosomal RNA, 638 nt
Filed under: uncultured fungus
Lineage: Eukaryota; Fungi
Description: eukaryotic LSU rRNA
Rfam family: Eukaryotic large subunit ribosomal RNA
Source: RNAcentral